Molecule: ribosomal RNA, 613 nt
Filed under: uncultured bacterium
Lineage: Bacteria
Description: bacterial SSU rRNA
Rfam family: Bacterial small subunit ribosomal RNA
Source: RNAcentral
CAAAGGUGAGCCAGUACAGGAUGGACCCGCGUCUGAUUAGCUAGUUGGUAAGGUAACGGCUUACCAAGGCGACGAUCAGUAGCCGACCUGAGAGGGUGAUCGGCCACAUUGGAACUGAGACACGGUCCAAAUUCCUACGGGAGGCAGCAGUGGGGAAUAUUGCACAAUGGGCGAAAGCCUGAUGCAGCAACGCCGCGUGAGUGAUGAAGGCCUUCGGGUCGUAAAACUCUGUCCUCAAGGAAGAUAAUGACGGUACUUGAGGAGGAAGCCCCGGCUAACUACGUGCCAGCAGCCGCGGUAAUACGUAGGGGGCUAGCGUUAUCCGGAUUUACUGGGCGUAAAGGGUGCGUAGGCGGUCUUUCAAGUCAGGAGUGAAAGGCUACGGCUCAACCGUAGUAAGCUCUUGAAACUGGGAGACUUGAGUGCAGGAGAGGAGAGUGGAAUUCCUAGUGUAGCGGUGAAAUGCGUAGAUAUUAGGAGGAACACCAGUUGCGAAGGCGGCUCUCUGGACUGUAACUGACGCUGAGGCACGAAAGCGUGGGGAGCAAACAGGAUUAGAUACCCUGGUAGUCCACGCUGUAAACGAUGAGUACUAGGUGUCGGGGGUUACCCC